RNAcentral lists this ribosomal RNA (1136 nucleotides) under Diatrypella verruciformis. RNAcentral's name for it is "eukaryotic LSU rRNA". The stretch from base 510 to 663 matches the Rfam family "5.8S ribosomal RNA". Lineage: Eukaryota; Fungi; Ascomycota; Sordariomycetes; Xylariales; Diatrypaceae. The record is from RNAcentral.
UAAGAGGGAUAUAGGAUCAGAGAUUUCUAGAUAGGUUUAGGAUGUUAACAUCGGGUGGUUUUACUUUAUGUAUAAGGUGCUUGCAAGGGAACCUUACGUAUUUUCAUUGGAAGUACCGCUUGAUGUUCCUAUUAUCCAUCUAAGGAUCAUAGAAAAGGUCCUAGUUUUUGUUGAUGCGUGGGGUUGCUAGUUGCUGUACUCGGUUCUCCGAUAUGAUGCCUUUGUGCUCGCCCCCCCCUGCGCCAAACAUAAAAUCUCACACAGAUUGGAAGUAAAAAUCGUAACAAGGUCUCCGUUGGUGAACCAGCGGAGGGAUCAUUACAGAGUUAAUAAACUCCCAACCCAUGUGAACUUACCUAUGUUGCCUCGGCGGGAGAGCCUACCCGGUACCUACCCUGUAGUUACCCGGGAGCGAGCUACCCUGUAGCCCGCUGCUGGCCGACCCGCCGGUGGACAGUAAAACUCUUGUUUUUAGUGGAUUAUCUGAGUGUUUAUACUUAAUAAGUUAAAACUUUCAACAACGGAUCUCUUGGUUCUGGCAUCGAUGAAGAACGCAGCGAAAUGCGAUAAGUAAUGUGAAUUGCAGAAUUCAGUGAAUCAUCGAAUCUUUGAACGCACAUUGCGCCCAUUAGUAUUCUAGUGGGCAUGCCUGUUCGAGCGUCAUUUCAACCCUCAAGCCCCAGUUGCUUGGUGUUGGGAGCCUGCAACCCCCAAGGGGCUGCAGCUCCUCAAAGCUAUUGGCGGAGUCGUAUUGGCCCUAAGCGUAGUAAUUUUUUCCUCGCUUCUAGUGGUUCCAGUGCUGGCGUCCAGCCGUAAAACCCCUAAUUUUCUAGUGGUUGACCUCGGAUCAGGUAGGAAUACCCGCUGAACUUAAGCAUAUCAAUAAGCGGAGGAAACUUCCCCACUGACUCUAAGGAUUUACACGGCUGAGAGAAUAAGUUGAGUGAGCCUGCUUUCGUUUAUUGGUUGAUGGCUCCAACAUCUAACUUUGGAGUCUUCAGGGCCCCCUUGCCGCUCAACAGAAAAUCCCCCAUCAAAAAAUAAUAGAACGCCAUAAGUUUUCCAUGAUUCAUUCCACCCCCCCAAUAGUAAACCGCAAAUAAAGACACGAAAAUAAGUGCACUCGUAGAGAAUAC